AUGGAGGCGAAGAAGCUGAAGGGGGCGGCCACCAUGGCCGCGCUGUGCGUGCUCCUCCUCCUGGCGCUGCUGCCCAGGGAGGCGGCCGCCAAGUCGGAGUUCUGCAAGUGCUUCGAUGACUGCUACCCCGGGUGCGUGAGCGGCAACGUGCCGGGCUACGCCUGCGAUGUGUUCUGCGCCAACAAGUGCAGCCCCAACACCAACCACCCCGGCUAUGGCGUCGGCGUCGGCACCUGCAGGAUGGCCUGCAAGAUACAGAUCUGCGGCCACUCAGCGGCGGCGCCGACCGAUGCAGCUGACGCCGACGUCUGCAUGCAGAACUGCAACAGGAAGCUGAGCCAGAUGGCCCAGACUGAUUAA
This 360-nucleotide ribosomal RNA is filed under the name Triticum aestivum (bread wheat). RNAcentral's name for it is "partial small subunit ribosomal RNA". The record is from RNAcentral. Lineage: Eukaryota; Viridiplantae; Streptophyta; Magnoliopsida; Poales; Poaceae.